This 600-nucleotide ribosomal RNA is filed under the name uncultured archaeon. RNAcentral's name for it is "bacterial SSU rRNA". It matches the Rfam family "Archaeal small subunit ribosomal RNA", at positions 1 to 609 of the family's 1478-position model. The record is from RNAcentral.
UUUCCGGUUGAUCCUGCCGGACCCGACUGCUAUCAGAGUGAGAUUAAGCCAUGCGAGUUAACGUAGCAAUACGUGGCGCACGGCUCAGUAACACGUAGUCAACAUGCCCAGAGGACGUGGAUAACCUCGGGAAACUGAGUCUAAACCGCGAUAAGUGAGGAUAUCUGGAAUGGUUCCUGACUAAAAUCUAUAUGGCCUCUGGAUUGGACUGCGGCCGAUCAGGCUGUUGGUGAGGUAAUGGCCCACCAAACCUGUAACCGGUACGGGCUCUGAGAGGAGGAGCCCGGAGAUGGGCACUGAGACAAGGGCCCAGGCCCUAUGGGGCGCAGCAGGCGCGAAACCUCUGCAAUAGGCGAAAGCCUGACAGGGUUACUCCGAGUGACUUUCGCUAAGAAAGUCUUUUGGCACCUCUAAAAAGGGUGCAGAAUAAGGGGUGGGCAAGUCUGGUGUCAGCCGCCGCGGUAAUACCAGCACCCCGAGUGGUCGGGACGAUUAUUGGGCCUAAAGCAUCCGUAGCCGGUUCUGCAAGUCCCCCGUUAAAUCCAACCGCUUAACGGUUGACCUGCAGAGGAUACCGCGGGACUAGGAGGCGGGAGAGGC